This 243-nucleotide ribosomal RNA is filed under the name uncultured bacterium. RNAcentral describes it as "partial 16S ribosomal RNA". It matches the Rfam family "Bacterial small subunit ribosomal RNA", at positions 15 to 252 of the family's 1533-position model. The record is from RNAcentral.
GAUCCGGCUCAGGAUGAACGCUGGCGGCGUGCCUAACACAUGCAAGUCGAACGGACUUACAUUGAAGCCUAGCGAUAUGUAAGUUAGUGGCGGACGGGUGAGUAACGCGUGGGUAACCUGCCUUGUACUGGGGGACAACAGUUGGAAACGACUGCUAAUACCGCAUAAGCGCACAGCUUCGCAUGAAGCAGUGUGAAAAACUCCGGUGGUACAAGAUGGACCCGCGUCUGAUUAGCUGGUUGG